This 1909-nucleotide long non-coding RNA is filed under the name Zea mays. RNAcentral describes it as "long non-coding RNA (ZMAY_LNC004693)". Lineage: Eukaryota; Viridiplantae; Streptophyta; Magnoliopsida; Poales; Poaceae. The record is from RNAcentral.
AGCUGAUGCAACUAACACAACCACGUCUGCUCGCCUGCCUGCCUGCCCGCCCGCUCGCCUGCCUCGCCACGCCACGCCGGAGCCCGGCCCUCCGGCGGCAGCGGCGCGCGUGGCACGCCCUUAUCCAUUUCUUGACUUCUCAAGUUAGGUGGAAUAAUUCUCAUCAUAUAAGUCAAGUCAAAAGACCCUUGGACUUCCAAUAUGGUACUAUUGGUAUUCUCCACUAUUACACACCAUAUAGUUUAUUCAAUAAAUAGGUCAGGCCUAUAAAAGAUCCAACAAACUGUACCUGACUUGGCUUUCUCUCUGCCCAUGCGUUCACUCGAGCAGCAGCUUCUGCAUCCUGACGACCAGGGGCGGAUCUACGACCGGGGCUGCCCGGGCUGCAGCCCCGGUCGCGGCCUAGUACAAGCGAAUAGGCCCAGUACAAGCCGUGUCUCCGCCUACAGCCUCCAGCCGCGUGCCUGCGUCGGGGCGUCGCGUAGUCGCGUCCAGUCCGCCAGCGGAGCAGCUCAGCAGCACCGAAGUGGAGACGAGCAAGAAGCGCCGAAGCGGAGCAGCUCAGCAACGCCGAAGUGGAGACAAGCAGGAACUGCCGAAGUGGAGAAGAGGAGGAAGCGCCGAAGCGGAACAGCACGGAGACCAGCAUGAAGCCAGGAAGCGGAGCAGCGCUGCGUCCAGUGGCAGAUCUAGAUUUCGCUACGUCCAGGUCUCCAGAAAGCCAAGCACCAGCCACCAGUUAAAGCCUCAUUCAGUUAAAUUAGACUAUGGUUUAAUCUGGAUUGAAUCGGAUCCAAUCUAGCCCACAAUUCAUGCCAAAAAAAUCCAGAAUUAUUUUAUUUUUCCUCUCUUCAGUUAAACCCGCUAUGGUUCCCCAGGGUUUUGGAUCUGGCCGACCGACCGACUCAAGUUGUUCCUGUUUGUUUUAUAAAGGUAGGAAUAUGAUAUAUUUCACUCGAGAUCGGUCACUGUAAUAAUACAAUUCACUAGCUAAAAAUAUGUUUGUAGAUAUUUAAGAUGAAAAGAUUUUGAAGCAUUUUUAAGGCUUAAGAACUCGGAAGAUAAAUUUAUCUCGCAACAUCAACUCAUGAACGAUAUGUAUUAAUUAUUGUAUUCCUAGAAUUCGUAUCGAUUUAUUUUUGGGUUACAUAUUUCUUAAAUGUUUAGAUUAUAUCUUGUUUCUUGUGUUAUAUUAAACAUUAAUUAUAUUUUUUAUAGCCUUAGCUUAUUAGGCCCUUCUUGGAUCAAUCCUGGAUCCGCCACCGCUGAGUACGACACAUUUGUAAUCUAGUACAUAUGUAUACAGCUUUAAUUUGUUACCAGAUGUUUGCGAGCGAAGCGUGGUGAUCAGACGGACCUUUUUCUGGAACUCGACGGAGUGGAUCUCGGCGCCGUACUUCCCCACGGCGACCUCCUCGAAGGCCGGCCUCAGCUUCAGCGACGCGUCGGCGAAGACGGCGUCCGCGAAGGCGAUCCGCGCCACCUGCUCGGCGAGAGCGUGCAGGCUGUCGGCCGCGUCCGGCCCAUCGCCUCCGCCGAGCGUAGCCAGCAGUUGGUCGCGCGUGGCGCCGCCCGAGCCGGCGGCAAGGAGGCUGAGCGCGACGUGGAGCGACAGCGGGGCGAAGCAAGUGAUAAAUAACUAUGGGGAUUUGAUGAACGUUGAUAGUUGUAGGUCGGUAAAUAUGGUUGAGAGUGUAAUCUUCGAAUGGUCUAGGUUUUGGUGGGGUGUUACUCCAACGGACCUAAAACCCCACUAUUGUGUGCGUGUGGAUGCGCCGCGUUGCAGGCGACCUAGCGAACGUGUCAUAUAUCGAUGAUUCGGUUUCAAGUGGUAUUAGAACUCAGGUCUGACACGAUGCAUUCUUGAAUACAUUUUAGCUCACAGUGAGUGAGCGAUAGAUUGUUGGGA